UACGUAGGUGGCAAGCGUUGUCCGGAUUUACUGGGCGUAAAGAGCGCGCAGGCGGUCGAUUAAGUCGAGUGUGAAAGCCCCCGGCUCAACUGGGGAGGGUCACUUGAUACUGAUCGACUUGAAGGCAGAAGAGGGAAGCGGAAUUCCCGGUGUAGUGGUGAAAUGCGUAGAUAUCGGGAGGAACACCAGUGGCGAAGGCGGCUUUCUGGUCUGUUCUUGACGCUGAGGCGCGAAAGCUAGGGUAGCAAACGGG
RNAcentral lists this ribosomal RNA (253 nucleotides) under uncultured bacterium. RNAcentral's name for it is "partial 16S ribosomal RNA". It matches the Rfam family "Bacterial small subunit ribosomal RNA", at positions 524 to 776 of the family's 1533-position model. The record is from RNAcentral.